Equus caballus (horse) is the source of this 46-nucleotide non-coding RNA. The record is from Rfam. NCBI's taxonomy places the organism in Eukaryota, Metazoa, Chordata, Mammalia, Perissodactyla, Equidae.
CCAAAAGCUCUUUUCAGAGCCACUUAAGUUUUCAUAAGAACUGUAU